GGAAAAGAGAAUCCAGGUGCUACAGCCCAAAGAAAAAGAAAGAGACUGUCCGGGCGUGGUGGCUCACACCUGUAUUCCCAGCACUUUGGGAGGCCAAGGCGGGUGGAUCACUUGAGGUCAGGAAUUCCAGACCAACCUGACCAACAUGGUGAAACCCCGUCUCCACUAAAAAUACAAAAAUUAGCUGUGUGUGGUGGCGGGCGCCUGUAGAACCAGCUGUUCGGGAACCUGAGGCUGGAGAAUCCCUUGAACCCGGGAGCCGGAGGUUGCAGAGAGCAGAGAUCACGCCGUUGCACUCCAGGCUGGGCGACAGCAAGACUCCAUCUCAAAAAAAGCUCUCCGUGCAUCACUAAUGUAAGGAUAGACUUUGAAUGACUGUCUUGGAGACAUCUAUGGGAUAAAAGAGAAGCAUGGGCUCUGGAAUCUGAAGAUUCUAUUCCAUUUCUGCCUCUGUGUUGUGGCUGUGUGAUGCUGGCAAAUUACAGACCUCAAGUUGAAAUAAUGAGCAUCAUAAUUACCCAUGCCCUGCCUUCCUUAAACUGCCCCCAUCCCCAAACUUCUACGAGGGCUCACAAAGAAGCUGCUUCACUCACCCAGUCGCUGCCCUGCAUCCCUGUCCAGAACUCUGCCUGCACCCUGCCCCACCCUCCCAACUCUCUCCUGCCACGUCUGCAGCUCUGCAGGCAGAGAGGGAUAAUUCCAAACCGCAGCAAUGGACAGGGACUCCGGGCAGCAACUCAAGGGCACAGUAACAAUAAUGGAUGUUAAGUGCUUAUUCGGGGACAAGUAGAUCGUAGCUGCUCCAUGAUUUAUUCCUGUCCCCUAUGAAUAUUCUCCAAGUAAAAUAAAAGGUUUAGAUCUGCGCUACCGCAUACAACAGUUACUUGUCCCAUGUGGCUGGUGCCAGUGAGGCAUGCUCUAAGUGUAAAACCCACACAGUCUCCAAAGACUUCACAGGAAAAGCAGAUGGACAAUAUUGUUUUAGUCCACGCAGGCUGCUAUAACAAAGUACCACAAACUGGGUAGCUUAUAAACAACAGAAAUUUAUUUCUCACAGUUCUAGAGGCUGGAAAGUCCAAGAUCAGGGCCCCUAGCAGAUUCUGUGCCUGACAAGGGCCCACUUUCUGUUUCACAGAUGGCACCUUUUCUUUCUAUCCUUACAUGGUAGAAGGGGUGAGGGAGUCUCUCUCAGUCCUCUUUUUUUUUUUUUUUGAAUCAGAGUCUCGCUCUGUUAUCCAGGCAGGAGUGCAGUGGUGAGUGGUGUGAUCAUGGCUCAUUGCAAUCUCCGCCUCCCUGAUUCAAGCAGCCAUUCUCCCACCUCGGCCUCCUGAGCUCAAGUGAUUCUCCUGCCUCAGACUCUUGAGUAGCUGGGAUUACAGGUACACACCACUAGGCCCGGCUAAUUUUUGUAUUUUUAGUAGAGAUGGGGUUUCACCAUGUUGGCCAGGCUGGUCUCAAACUCCUGACCUCAGGUGAUCCGCCCACCUCGGCCUCCCAAAGUGCUGCUAUUACAGGUGUGAGCCACCACACCUGGCCUCAGGCCUCUUUUUAAAAAAAAUUAUUUAUGUAUUUAUUUAUUUUCAUAGAGAUGUAGUUUUGCUAUGUUGCCCCGGCUGAUCUCCAACUGCUGGCCUCAAGUGAUCCUCCUGCCUUAGCCUCCUGAGUGCUAGGAUUACAGGCCUUUCCUAUAAGGGCUCUAACCCCAUUCUGAGGGCCCCACCCUCAUGACCUAAUCACCUCCCAAAGGCCCCACUUUCUAACACCAUCACUUUGGAGGUUAGGAUUUCAACAUAUAAAUUUUGAGGAGAAACAAACAUUCAGACCAUAGCAAGUACUUUCAUUAAUACUUUUUGUUUGAUUAUAUGUUCAGAUCAUAAUAGAUUUGAUAUAUUAGGUUAAGUAAAAAUAUAUUAUUAAAAUUAAUGUAGCUACUGAAAGUUUCAAAUUAUAUGUAUAACGUACAUUAUAUUUCUAUAGGAGGACAGUAUUGGUCUUUACACAGAUUUUAAGGUUCUGUCCUGCUAUGAGGUUCCAUGAUUCAAAUACGAGCAGUCUUAGAGGGGAAAAGAAGUUCCAGGCAAGCCUUGCACUUAGCCAUCCAAUCCUAGGGAAUUAUCCUACAGAAACACACAUGGGGAUCUGCACGAUGCGUGUAUGUUUGUAGUAUUGUUUGUAGCAUGAAGAAAAAGGCUGAAAACAAACUAAAUGUUCAACAGAAAGGAACUGGUUAAUAAAUGAUAGUACAUCCAUGGGACAUGUACAGGCAUUAAAAAGGCAAGAUAUUUCCCGUAAGAAUCACCUGAGACACUUAUUAAAAAUAUCAAUAUAGGCCAGGUAUGGUGGCUCAUGCUUGUAAUCCCAGCACUUUGGGAGGCCAAGCUCAGAGGAUCACUUAAAGCCAGGAGUCUGAAACCAGCCUGGGCAACAUAGCAAGACCCUGUCUCUACAAAAAAAUUAAAAACAGCCAGGUGUGGUGGCACAUGCCUGUAGUUUCAGCUACAUGGGAAGCUGAGGUGGGAGAAUCACUUGAGCCCGGGAGAUUGAGGCUGCAGUGAGCUACGAUUGUGCCCUUGAACUCCAGCCUUGGGAACAGAACAAGACCCUGUUUCUCUCUCUCUCUCUCUCUCUCUGUCUCUCUCUCUCUCUCCACACACACACACAAAGACUUCCCCAGGUGCCUCCCUGAGAAAUUCUCAUUCAGCAGGUUUGAAGUGAGACCUGUCAAUCUCAAUGUUUAAAAAGCACCCCUGAGAGAUUCUGAUUUCCAGACAAGUUUCCAGACACUAAAACAAUUGGUAAGUAUAUAUAACUGCAUGGAAAAAAUAUGCAAGAUAGUGUUUGGACUUAUAUUCUAUGAUGCAUUUUUGUUUAUAAAACAGGAUUGCAUAUGUAUGUUUGUGUGUAGAAAUACACACACUGAUGUAUAGAAAAGAUUUGGAAGGACAUAAGCCCAGCUGCUAUAGGUGAUUACCUCUUGGAAACGGGAAAAAAGAAAUGGGCUUUGCAUUUUUACUUGCAUACUUCAAUGUUUGUUUGUUUAUGCAUCACUUACAGGAGGGGGACAAGAACCCCCUCGUGAUUUCAUCAGUUCCCAAGUGUUUGGGGAGGGUGAGCAAUGGAGGAAGCCAGGGGUGAGGCAGUCAGCUGCGCUCACAGCCAUGGCGUCACACCCCAGGGACUGCCCAUUGUGAAGUCCCUUGGGGUGCCCCCUCCCUGCACUCUCAUUCUUCCCACUAGCCCCAGACGGGCUCUGCCAUCAACCUGCAGCUCCUCCUGAGCUGCGGCUCUUCCCGCUCUGCCCCCAACACAAGGAGAGCCCCGACUUGGGAGGAGGGCUUUUCAGAUCGCAGCUUGGCCUGAGGCAGAGCCAGAGCGAUGAGGUCACCCAGCACAGCUGCUAACUAUUUCAAGGAAACAGAACCGUGGUCUCAGCCCUGGCUGCAUAUUCCUUCAACGGGAGGGCUUUAGAAAUGCUGUGCCAGAGCUGCACCCCAGACCAACAAAAUCAGACUCUCCAGGAUGCGGCCAAGGCAUCAGUAUGUGGAAAGCUUUCAGGAAAACUGAGCAAAAUGAAAGCCAAUUCAAAGAAGAAGGAAUUAAGUACAUAAUUGUGCAGAUGAUACAUGGAAAUGGUAAGAAUGGUGACAAUGGGACGUAAGUGACUGAAAUUUGGGAUACAUUGGAUUAGAAGAAAAUAAGCCCCCAAGAAACCGGAAUAAGUCUGGAGGGCAGCAAGAGUGACUGUCCAGCUAAGAACCUCAUCAGCAAUACAAAACAUUGUCACAGAUGUUGAAACAGACCCUGAGGUUAAUGCAUUCUUUCCAACAUUAGGUCCUAAAACUUCUCCUGAAAAGCUACCUUAAAUCUAACUUUUGAAAGUGCACAAUAAAGGUGAAUUAAAUAAAAGCAACUUGAAAUUU
This 3920-nucleotide long non-coding RNA is filed under the name Homo sapiens (human). RNAcentral's name for it is "HSALNT0213752". The record is from RNAcentral. Lineage: Eukaryota; Metazoa; Chordata; Mammalia; Primates; Hominidae.